AUGAGAGGAGUUUCUUAUAAAAGCUUUCGAAUUCAGAUGUAACCCAGCAAUGCACUCAGACUCCUCUCUGCUGUGGAGAGCUUUUUUUUUUUUUUUUCAUAUUAAACUUUCACUCCAACUUUAUCUUUGUGUUUACAAUUCUUAAUUUUUUUGUCUUGGAUAAAGAACAAAAAACCUGGAGUACUUCUUCAGACAACAAGAAACUUCCAAAUUAAGGUGCAUUGGCAAGAAUGCAACAUAUUUUGAUCCAUUGGCUUGGAAGGAGGGAAUUCAUCAGAAGGAGUCAAGGACACUUGUCUUGAGCUAGCUACACCCUUUCACAACUCAGUAAGGAGUGAAGACUGAUUUUGCAGAGCCAAUAAAGGCCCCUGGGGAAACUGGCCUCAUAUCUUGUCAUGAAGAUUUUAUACAGGUUUCCUAACCUGUGUGCUCACUGCUGCAAAGAAGAACAAGCACACAGGCAAAAAGUUUUCCCAGCAAGAAUGCCAGGGUGAAAGGAAAGAUCAAUUGGACCAGAGCACAAGUGCUGCUCCAGUUACUUGGCAGAGUACCUAAUAGUGAUCCACCACAAUACCACCAUAUAUCUGUUUGGGAAUAAACAAGGGCAAGUUGACUGCUUAAGAGUGAUGACAUGCAACUCAGUCUCUUGCAACACCACCUGAGAAAAGGAAGCACUAGCAGGAAGAACAAAUUGAUGGAGAGGAAAAGUGAUGAAUACAGAUAAGAAGCACAGCUGGUGGAGGCUCAUGUGCCAGUUUACUGGGCCUCAGGACAUUCUCCUCUAGAAGGAGGAGACAGCAUGACCCCCACUUUCUUUUAUUUUAUUAUAAUUUAAGUUUUAGGGUACAUGAGCACAAUGUGCAGGUUAGUUACAUAUGU
RNAcentral lists this long non-coding RNA (879 nucleotides) under Homo sapiens (human). Its description in RNAcentral is "HSALNT0409534". The record is from RNAcentral. Lineage: Eukaryota; Metazoa; Chordata; Mammalia; Primates; Hominidae.